This 76-nucleotide small nuclear RNA is filed under the name Homo sapiens (human). RNAcentral's name for it is "partial ncRNA". Lineage: Eukaryota; Metazoa; Chordata; Mammalia; Primates; Hominidae. The record is from RNAcentral.
AGAUCGCUUGAGCCCAGGUGGUCAAGGCUGCAGUGAGCUAUGAUUGUGCUACUGCACUCCAGCCUGGGCGACAGAG